GGGAGAGGAGGAAGGGAGGUGGGGGGCCGGCCGUCUCUGUGCCUCCUCGACGCCGAGCUGCGGCUGCUCCGUGUGUGUGCGCUCUCUCUCUCUCUCAGGGGCGAGAAGGCGGAGGCAGGAGCGGCUGCUUCGGGCCCCGAUCUGGGGAGGGUACGAGGCAGGGAAGGACGCCGUCCCUUUCAUUCUCUCUCUGAUUCGUCCUCUUCCCUCUUUCCAUCCCUCCUGCUCGCCAGCGGUUCCUCCUCCCCUGCCUCCUCACGUCGCCCUCAAGUCUGAGGCAACGAGUUUGCUUCCUCUGCUCCGUUCAUGUCAUUGAGCUUUUUCCUUGGGCAUAGCACCACAUUUGCGGCAGCACACCGGAGUCAAUUUGGUUGACUAGCAAUAGAGCAAAGGUGUCCUCCAGGUUCUGCAUCAUCAGUGUGUACCUCUAGAUUCUGCAUCAUUAGUGAGCAACUUACCUAAGCAACCGAGCCCAAUCAACAAUUGGUAGAAGUAGUUAUGAGAUGAGGCAGAGGAGAGCAGAGAGGACCGGAGAAGGAGUUGCGGACCUCGCCAACAAGGCCGUGACCCUACAUCACUAAAAAAAUGCGCCGUAUUUGUUUCUCAUGCUUUACCAUGGCAUGUUCUUAUUAGUUCAGGUUGGUCUCUCCGGUUCUUUUCGCCAAUGGCUUGAUGUACGCACUGGCAACCUCUUACUGGAAGGAUUCGGCAUGCCUCUGUUCGAGAGAUGGGAUAUGAAGAAAUGGCGUUCUGUAGGUUGUCUUCAUGUCGCUGUUGUGCUACUGCUAGGCAUGAACAGAAUGGCCUCCUCUUAUUGCGAACCACACUGAUGUUGGCUUCUGAUUUCUGCUGUAAUGGAUUAUUUACUAUGGACAAAUAUGGCAAUAUUCAUUUGGAGCACCGUUUCUUGAGGAUAUGUCUCUUCUACAGGGGGAGAUCCCCGGCCUCUGCAUCAGAACGAUGCAUACAUGAUAUCGGUACUUUUUAUAACUGAUCCAUGUUCUUGGAAUACUUUAUUUUAUUUCAUUAAUAAGCAAGGGUGGAUGGUGGCUUGCAGUGUGCUUGUACUAAAAAAGGUGUUCUGCCAUCCCAUGGAUUCUAGCACAGCUUGAAGCGGCCAAGUCAAGGAGGACCUAUAAAAUUAUUUGAUCGUCUCUCGCUCUCUCUCUCUCUCUCU
Triticum dicoccoides is the source of this 1177-nucleotide long non-coding RNA. RefSeq lists it as uncharacterized. The record is from RefSeq and is a predicted model, not a curated record. Lineage: Eukaryota; Viridiplantae; Streptophyta; Magnoliopsida; Poales; Poaceae. The transcript has 8 exons.